RNAcentral lists this ribosomal RNA (460 nucleotides) under uncultured bacterium. RNAcentral describes it as "partial 16S ribosomal RNA". It matches the Rfam family "Bacterial small subunit ribosomal RNA", at positions 338 to 795 of the family's 1533-position model. The record is from RNAcentral.
CCUACGGGAGGCAGCAGUGAGGAAUAUUGGUCAAUGGACGAGAGUCUGAACCAGCCAAGUAGCGUGAAGGAUGACUGCCCUAUGGGUUGUAAACUUCUUUUAUAAAGGAAUAAAACGAGGCACGUGUGCCUGUUUGCAUGUACUUUAUGAAUAAGGAUCGGCUAACUCCGUGCCAGCAGCCGCGGUAAGACGGAGGAUCCGAGCGUUAUCCGGAUUUAUUGGGGUUAAAGGGAGCGUAGAUGGGUUGUUAAGUCAGUUGUGAAAGUUUGCGGCUCAACCGUAAAAUUGCAAUUGAUACUGGCAGUCUUGAGUACAGUUGAGGUAAGCGGAAUUCGUGGUGUAGCGGUGAAAUGCUUAGAUAUCACGAAGAACCCCGAUUGCGAAGGCAGCUUACUAAACUGUGACUGACAUUGAUGCUCGAAAGUGUGGGUAUCAAACAGGAUUAGAUACCCCGGUAGUC